Parasteatoda tepidariorum (common house spider) is the source of this 583-nucleotide long non-coding RNA. The record is from RefSeq and is a predicted model, not a curated record. NCBI's taxonomy places the organism in Eukaryota, Metazoa, Arthropoda, Arachnida, Araneae, Theridiidae.
AACAGUCGCGUUUUCCAUUAUAUUUUAUUUUAUGUCAAUUGUAUUUGGUUUUCAGUGUUAAGUUUUCGUGAUGUAAAAUAAGUUUAUAAAUACUAUACAUUUUGUCAAAUUUUAAAGGAAAACUAAAGUUAGACUAGUUGCAAAAUUUAAAAUAAUUUUUUGAAAAACUUUUGAAUGAAAAUAAAUCAUUUGCAUGGGAAUUUAUUCUACUUGAAUAUGAAUGGAAUUUAAUAUCCACUUGAACGAGAUUAUGAAGAUUUAGUAGAACUGCCAUCAAUUAUGCUAAAAUAUGACUCCUUCGGCGCUUUAUGAAAAUUGCAGUGGAAUUCAAGAAUUGCCUCAGAAUCAGACAUGCUAUGUAGAUAUUGAUUUGGAUGAAUCCUCACGCCAAAUUGAGGAAUUUGAUCAUAUUGAUGAGAUAAUUAUGUACUUAGUAUUCUUCUUACGGCAUUUAAGAAGAAAAUUCACAAAUUAUGAAAACUUGGAAAAACGCUAAUUUAUAGCACUCAUGCAAAAUGUAAAAAAUUGUCAUCUAAUUCUGUAUCAUUAAAAAAUUGUGUAUAAUAAAUAUUGUCUCUUGCUA